This 443-nucleotide ribosomal RNA is filed under the name uncultured bacterium. Its description in RNAcentral is "partial 16S ribosomal RNA". It matches the Rfam family "Bacterial small subunit ribosomal RNA", at positions 338 to 795 of the family's 1533-position model. The record is from RNAcentral.
CCUACGGGAGGCAGCAGUGGGGAAUAUUGGGCAAUGGGCGCAAGCCUGACCCAGCAACGCCGCGUGAAGGAAGAAGGCUUUCGGGUUGUAAACUUCUUUUCUCAGGGACGAAGCGAGUGACGGUACCUGACGAAUAAGCCACGGCUAACUACGUGCCAGCAGCCGCGGUAAUACGUAGGUGGCAGGCGUUAUCCGGAUUUACUGGGUGUAAAGGGCGUGUAGGCGGGGACGCAAGUCAGAUGUGAAAACCACGGGCUCAACCUGUGGCCUGCAUUUGAAACUGUGUUUCUUGAGUACUGGAGAGGCAGACGGAAUUCCUAGUGUAGCGGUGAAAUGCGUAGAUAUUAGGAGGAACACCAGUGGCGAAGGCGGUCUGCUGGAGAGCAACUGACGCUGAGGCGCGAAAGCGUGGGGAGCAAACAGGAUUAGAUACCCUGGUAGUC